GAAGAAGGAAGCUCUUGACUCUCCUAAAGCUGAUCCCAAAGUGAAGGCUUUGAAGGCCAAGAAGGCAGUGCUGAAAGGCAUCCACACAGCCACCAAGAAAAAAAAAAAAAAGAUUCACACAUCACCCACCUUCCUGUGGCCCAAGACAUUAUGACUCUGAAGACAGCCUCAAUAUCCUCAGAAGAGCACUACCAGGAGAAAUAAGCUUGACCACUAUGCCAUCAUCAAGUUCCCAAUAACCAGUGACCACUGAGUCUGAUGUGAAUUAGAUAGAAGACAACAAUACACCUGUGUUCACUGUGGAUGUUAAAAGCCAAAAAGUACCAGGUCAGGCUGUGAAGCAGCUCUAUGACACUGAUGUGGUCAAAGUCAACACAUUGAUCAGGGCUGAUGGAGAGAAGAAGGCGUAUGUUCAACUGGCUCCUGAUUACAAUGCUUCUGAGGUUGCCAACAAAACUGGGAUCAUC
Molecule: long non-coding RNA, 467 nt
Filed under: Homo sapiens (human)
Lineage: Eukaryota; Metazoa; Chordata; Mammalia; Primates; Hominidae
Description: non-protein coding lnc-PLCG1-1:2
Source: RNAcentral